This 224-nucleotide long non-coding RNA is filed under the name Jatropha curcas. Its description in RNAcentral is "long non-coding RNA (JCUR_LNC000743)". Lineage: Eukaryota; Viridiplantae; Streptophyta; Magnoliopsida; Malpighiales; Euphorbiaceae. The record is from RNAcentral.
UUUGGUAGACUUCAAGGCAGUGUGAUCUCGCUUAAAAUUUUACCAACUGAUCACUGGCGUGUAAUAGAAGAUUUGCCCUGUGCGAGAGAAAUAUUGAAACUUCCAUUUUGUUGAUGUUCUUUGUAGAAUUUCUUUUUAGAGAAUGUUGCAAAUUGUGGAAGGCUUUUGCCUUUUUCUUCUUUUUGCUAAUGAUUCUGCCUUAGUAUUAGCCAGAUGAUAUUGCC